This 516-nucleotide ribosomal RNA is filed under the name Vibrio alginolyticus. RNAcentral's name for it is "partial 16S ribosomal RNA". It matches the Rfam family "Bacterial small subunit ribosomal RNA", at positions 488 to 1004 of the family's 1533-position model. Lineage: Bacteria; Pseudomonadati; Pseudomonadota; Gammaproteobacteria; Vibrionales; Vibrionaceae. The record is from RNAcentral. RNAcentral also lists the same sequence under 1 other name.
AGCACCGGCUAACUCCGUGCCAGCAGCCGCGGUAAUACGGAGGGUGCGAGCGUUAAUCGGAAUUACUGGGCGUAAAGCGCAUGCAGGUGGUUUGUUAAGUCAGAUGUGAAAGCCCGGGGCUCAACCUCGGAAUAGCAUUUGAAACUGGCAGACUAGAGUACUGUAGAGGGGGGUAGAAUUUCAGGUGUAGCGGUGAAAUGCGUAGAGAUCUGAAGGAAUACCGGUGGCGAAGGCGGCCCCCUGGACAGAUACUGACACUCAGAUGCGAAAGCGUGGGGAGCAAACAGGAUUAGAUACCCUGGUAGUCCACGCCGUAAACGAUGUCUACUUGGAGGUUGUGGCCUUGAGCCGUGGCUUUCGGAGCUAACGCGUUAAGUAGACCGCCUGGGGAGUACGGUCGCAAGAUUAAAACUCAAAUGAAUUGACGGGGGCCCGCACAAGCGGUGGAGCAUGUGGUUUAAUUCGAUGCAACGCGAAGAACCUUACCUACUCUUGACAUCCAGAGAACUUUCCAGA